Molecule: long non-coding RNA, 482 nt
Organism: Ostrinia nubilalis (European corn borer)
Lineage: Eukaryota; Metazoa; Arthropoda; Insecta; Lepidoptera; Crambidae
Exons: 3
Source: RefSeq, a predicted model, not a curated record
UCAUUGGACCCGCAACGAAAUUAAUCAGAAAAAUAAUUAAAUAGGAAAUUGAAUCCCAGGAUGCAUAUACCGACGUGGUGGAGCUGUGUGCGUUGCUGCAAUGCCUGGGCUUCAGCGUGCGUUCGCUGGAGACCAGUGAAGUGAACCUGAGCCAGGAUGUUGGCACCAGGACCGUGGUUAUCAACUGCCAGUCAUCAGGACUGCACGUGGUGCUGGAGAGCCCAGGCCUGGCGUGCUCGUGCCCUGCUACUGACCAGCAGAACAGCGGCGUCUGGCAGGUGUCCGGCGUGACUGGCGGCAAGCAUCUUGAUAAGGAGUUCGGCUGCACCCUCCUCGGAUCUCUCCCGAAACCACACCGUGAACGGUUGACCAAGGAGCUGCGGGAGAUGAUCCGGUGCAUCAAGCAGCACAACGACUCCGACCACGAGAAGAAGAAGGAGUUAAAUAAGUCUACCAGCAUCAUCGAGCUUAACACGCCGGAG